GACAGAGGGUGCGAACGUUGUUCGGAAUUACUGGGCGUAAAGCGCGUGUAGGCGGCAGCGUAAGUCGGGCGUGAAAUCCCACGGCUCAACCGUGGAAGUGCACUCGAAACUGCGCAGCUAGAGUCCUGGAGAGGAAGGUGGAAUGCUUGGUGUAGAGGUGAAAUGCGCAGAUAUCAGGAAGAACACCAAUGGCGAAGGCAGCUCUCUGGGCCACUACUGACGCUGAGAAGCGAAAGCAUGGGGAGCGAACAGG
RNAcentral lists this ribosomal RNA (253 nucleotides) under uncultured bacterium. RNAcentral's name for it is "partial 16S ribosomal RNA". It matches the Rfam family "Bacterial small subunit ribosomal RNA", at positions 524 to 776 of the family's 1533-position model. The record is from RNAcentral.